GCUUAAUAUGAAAGGAGAGAAUGUUAGCACUCCCCUUGAUAAGGAUGGAAGGGGUCCUAGUGACCUUACAGCACACAAAUGGUUAAGGCAUUGCUAUCUACUUAGUGGUACCUAACCAUGUUUUUCU
Small nuclear RNA from Rhincodon typus (whale shark), 127 nucleotides. Lineage: Eukaryota; Metazoa; Chordata; Chondrichthyes; Orectolobiformes; Rhincodontidae. The record is from RefSeq and is a predicted model, not a curated record.